GACGAACGCUGGCGGCGUGCUUAACACAUGCAAGUCGAACGGAAAGGCUCCAGCUUGCUGGAGUACUCGAGUGGCGAACGGGUGAGUAACACGUGGGUAAUCUGCCCUGCACUUUGGGAUAAGCCUGGGAAACUGGGUCUAAUACUGGAUAUGACCUUUCUCCUUAUGGGGUUUGGUGGAAAGUUUUUCGGUGUGGGAUGAGCCCGCGGCCUAUCAGCUUGUUGGUGGGGUGAUGGCCUACCAAGGCCACGACGGGUAGCCGGCCUGAGAGGGUGAUCGGCCACAUUGGGACUGAGAUACGGCCCAGACUCCUACGGGAGGCAGCAGUGGGGAAUAUUGCACAAUGGGCGGAAGCCUGAUGCAGCGACGCCGCGUGAGGGAUGACGGCCUUCGGGUUGUAAACCUCUUUCAGCAGGGACGAAGCGUAAGUGACGGUACCUGCAGAAGAAGCACCGGCUAACUAUGUG
Molecule: ribosomal RNA, 467 nt
Filed under: uncultured bacterium
Lineage: Bacteria
Description: partial 16S ribosomal RNA
Rfam family: Bacterial small subunit ribosomal RNA
Source: RNAcentral